Molecule: long non-coding RNA, 592 nt
Organism: Phacochoerus africanus (Common warthog)
Lineage: Eukaryota; Metazoa; Chordata; Mammalia; Artiodactyla; Suidae
Exons: 2
Source: RefSeq, a predicted model, not a curated record
GCAGCCCUCCACCCUAAAAGAAACCGAGACAGGGAUGAGUCAGGACAUUCCAUCCUGGCCGACUCACCCUGCCUGCCUGGGAUCAGAGUCAGCCAACACCCAUUCCAAACACACUGGUUACACCGGCCAGCCGCCACCCUUGUGCUGAUACCCACCCAGCUCUGCCUUUCAGGGUGGCACCUGCCUUACUAUCCCUCGGAGGCCCACACCCUCUCUGCAGCUUUACCCUCUACGUUCACCUUCCCAAGGAAGGACAGAAACAGAUGACCCUGGCCCCUGGGAAGCACCUCCAGAUCUCAAGAGUCAGGUUGCUUGCCCUGACAGAAGCCAGCUGCAGUAUCAGGGUAUAUUCCAGCAGCCCUGUGAAAAGCCCAGUGGUAAACUGAGGUCUCCAGUUGCUGGCAGUGUGUGUAAGCCUCCUUGGUAUUGGGAUCCUCCAGCCCCAUUCAAGCCUUCAAACGACUGCAGCUCCAGCCCACAGCUUGAGUACAACCCCAUGAGAGACCCUGAGCCAGAACCACCCAGCUAAGCUACUCCCAUAUUCCUGACUCACAGAAAUGGUGAGAUAGUAAAUGUUGGUUGUUCUAAGUCA